UCCACUGAAGGAACGUUAAAGACGAUGACGUUGAUAGGUCGGGUGUGUAAGCGUAGCGAUACGUUGAGCUAACCGAUACUAAUGAACCGUGAGACUUAACCUU
RNAcentral lists this ribosomal RNA (103 nucleotides) under Limnobaculum xujianqingii. RNAcentral describes it as "partial 23S ribosomal RNA". It matches the Rfam family "Bacterial large subunit ribosomal RNA", at positions 2823 to 2925 of the family's 2925-position model. Lineage: Bacteria; Pseudomonadati; Pseudomonadota; Gammaproteobacteria; Enterobacterales; Budviciaceae. The record is from RNAcentral.